This 436-nucleotide ribosomal RNA is filed under the name uncultured bacterium. Its description in RNAcentral is "bacterial SSU rRNA". It matches the Rfam family "Bacterial small subunit ribosomal RNA", at positions 73 to 507 of the family's 1533-position model. The record is from RNAcentral.
GCUUGCUUUUUCUAGGCGUCGACCGGCGCACGGGUGACGUAACGCGUAUCCAACCUGCCAUCACUUGGGGAUAACCUUGCGAAAGUAAGACUAAUACCCAAUGACGUCUCUAGAAGACAUCUGAAAGAGAUUUAAAGAUUUAUCGGUGAUGGAUGGGGAUGCGUCUGAUUAGCUUGUUGGCGGGGUAACGCCCACCAAGGCGACGAUCAGUAGGGGUUCUGAGAGGAAGGUCCCCCACAUUGGAACUGAGACACGGUCCAAACUCCUACGGGAGGCAGCAGUGAGGAAUAUUGGUCAAUGGACGAGAGUCUGAACCAGCCAAGUAGCGUGCAGGAUGACGGCCCUAUGGGUUGUAAACUGCUUUUAUAAGGGAAUAAAGUGAGUCUCGUGAGACUUUUUGCAUGUACCUUAUGAAUAAGGACCGGCUAAUUCCGUG